AGAGUUUGAUUAUGGCUCAGAAUGAACGUUGGCGGCGUGGAUUAGGCAUGCAAGUCGAGCGGGUAUAGCAAUAUACCAGCGGCGAAAGGGAUAGUAACGCGUAGUUACAACCCCCGGGACUGGGAUAGCUUUUGGAAACGAAAGGUAAUACCAGAUAACAUCUCCGGAUCAAAGGUGAGAUUCCGCCUGGGGACGGGACUGCGUCCUAUUAGUUAGUUGGUGAGGUAAUGGCUCACCAAGACGACGAUGGGUAGCGGGCGUGAGAGCGUGACCCGCAUCAUUGGGACUGAGACACUGCCCAGACACCUACGGGUGGCUGCAGUCGAGAAUCUUCGGCAAUGGACGAAAGUCUGACCGAGCGACGCCGCGUGCGGGAAUGAAGGUCUUCGGAUUGUAAACCGCUGUCAAGUUGGAGGAAGUAUCCAGGAGCAAUCUUCUGGAUUUGACCGAGAGCAAAAGGAAGGACGGGCUAAGUUCGUGCCAGCAGCCGC
Molecule: ribosomal RNA, 491 nt
Filed under: uncultured bacterium
Lineage: Bacteria
Description: bacterial SSU rRNA
Rfam family: Bacterial small subunit ribosomal RNA
Source: RNAcentral